This is a non-coding RNA of Solanum lycopersicum (tomato), 317 nucleotides long. NCBI's taxonomy places the organism in Eukaryota, Viridiplantae, Streptophyta, Magnoliopsida, Solanales, Solanaceae. The record is from RefSeq and is a predicted model, not a curated record.
UCGUGGCCUUUUAGAAAGUAAAAGAUCCGGGGAGUGAAUUUUGGAGCGCGCGUGAUCUGCGUUCAGGUCCGAGCACCGGUAGUCAGCGUUGAUCGAGUUUGGGGAAUUUCUGGUCUGGAGACAGGAGUGAGCACACAGCGUUUUGUACUAUUUCAGUCUCCAUCUAUUUAUAUAAAGACUUGUCUUUUACUUUUCGAGACAGUCUAGUUUUGGUGGUCCACUGUUGGGACUUGUACUCGUUUUGUUGGUAGCUCUGUAUUAGUGACUUCCAGGUUCUGGGAGGGAUCCUUUAUUGUAUUUAUGUUUUGGUUUGCUUA